This is a long non-coding RNA of Aplysia californica (California sea hare), 346 nucleotides long. RefSeq lists it as uncharacterized. The record is from RefSeq and is a predicted model, not a curated record. NCBI's taxonomy places the organism in Eukaryota, Metazoa, Mollusca, Gastropoda, Aplysiida, Aplysiidae. The transcript has 3 exons.
GCUGACCACGACUGUCACCCACCUGUAUGUGGGAACAGCCACCAUGGAGUCUGUCAGAACGGACAGUGUGAUUGCAGCACCAAACAAGAAGAUCCCGUCGUAGGCAAGAGAGCGACCUCCUGCAGCGCUGACCACGACUGUCACCCACCUGUAUGUGGUAACACCCACCACGGAGUCUGUCAGAACGGACAGUGUGAUUGCAGCACCAAACAACAAGACACAACCGUAGCGACCACGACCUCGAGCUCGACCUCAUGCAGCGCUGACCACGACUGUCAUCCACCUGUAUGUGGGAACAGCCACCACGGAGUCUGUCAGAACGGACAGUGUGAUUGCAGCACCAAAC